GACGAACGCUGGCGGCGUGCCUAAUACAUGCAAGUUGAGCGCUGAAGGUUGGUACUUGUACCGACUGGAUGAGCAGCGAACGGGUGAGUAACGCGUGGGGAAUCUGCCUUUGAGCGGGGGACAACAUUUGGAAACGAAUGCUAAUACCGCAUAAAAACUUUAAACACAAGUUUUAAGUUUGAAAGAUGCAAUUGCAUCACUCAAAGAUGAUCCCGCGUUGUAUUAGCUAGUUGGUGAGGUAAAGGCUCACCAAGGCGAUGAUACAUAGCCGACCUGAGAGGGUGAUCGGCAAAAUUGGGACUGAGACACGGCCCAAACUCCAACGGGAGGCAGCAGUAGGGAAUCUUCGGCAAUGGACGAAAGUCUGACCGAGCAACGCCGCGUGAGUGAAGAAGGUUUUCGGAUCGUAAAACUCUGUUGGUAGAGAAGAACGUUGGUGAGAGUGGAAAGCUCAUCAAGUGACGGUAACUACCCAGAAAGGGACGGCUAACUACGUG
Molecule: ribosomal RNA, 497 nt
Filed under: uncultured bacterium
Lineage: Bacteria
Description: partial 16S ribosomal RNA
Rfam family: Bacterial small subunit ribosomal RNA
Source: RNAcentral